GCGUAGCACAGUGGUUAGUGACCCUGACUACUGAGCCGAUGGUCCCGGGUUCGAUUCCCGGCUGGGGCA
RNAcentral lists this transfer RNA (69 nucleotides) under Plutella xylostella (diamondback moth). RNAcentral describes it as "tRNA-Ser". Lineage: Eukaryota; Metazoa; Arthropoda; Insecta; Lepidoptera; Plutellidae. The record is from RNAcentral.